UACGGGGGGGGCAAGCGUUGUUCGGAAUUACUGGGCGUAAAGGGCUCGUAGGCGGCCAACUAAGUCGGAUGUGAAAUCCCCAGGCUUAACCUGGGAACUGCAUCCGAUACUGGAUGGCUUGAAUCCGGGAGAGGGAUGCAGAAUUCCAGGUGUAGCGGUGAAAUGCGUAGAUAUCUGGAGGAAUACCGGUGGCGAAGGCGGCAUCCUGGACCGGCAUUGACGCUGAGUGAGCGAAAGCGUGGGGAGCAAACAGG
This 254-nucleotide ribosomal RNA is filed under the name uncultured bacterium. RNAcentral's name for it is "partial 16S ribosomal RNA". It matches the Rfam family "Bacterial small subunit ribosomal RNA", at positions 524 to 776 of the family's 1533-position model. The record is from RNAcentral.